ACUCCUACGGGAGGCAGCAGUGGGGAAUAUUGCACAAUGGGCGCAAGCCUGAUGCAGCCAUGCCGCGUGUAUGAAGAAGGCCUUCGGGUUGUAAAGUACUUUCAGCAGUGAGGAAGGUGGGUAUGUUAAUAGCAUAUUCAUUUGACGUUAGCUGCAGAAGAAGCACCGGCUAACUCCGUGCCAGCAGCCGCGGUAAUACGGAGGGUGCGAGCGUUAAUCGGAAUUACUGGGCGUAAAGCGCAUGCAGGUGGUUUGUUAAGUCAGAUGUGAAAGCCCGGGGCUCAACCUCGGAAUUGCAUUUGAAACUGGCAAACUAGAGUACUGUAGAGGGGGGUAGAAUUUCAGGUGUAGCGGUGAAAUGCGUAGAGAUCUGAAGGAAUACCGGUGCGAAGGCGGCCCCCUGGACAGAUACUGACACUCAGAUGCGAAAGCGUGGGGAAGCAAACAGGAUUAGAUACCCUGGUAGACUCU
RNAcentral lists this ribosomal RNA (471 nucleotides) under uncultured bacterium. RNAcentral describes it as "bacterial SSU rRNA". It matches the Rfam family "Bacterial small subunit ribosomal RNA", at positions 335 to 798 of the family's 1533-position model. The record is from RNAcentral.